GACGAACGCUGGCGGCGUGCUUAACACAUGCAAGUCGAACGUGAUUUUUGUGGAAAUUCUUUCGGGAAUGGAAAUGAAAUGAAAGUGGCGAACGGGUGAGUAACACGUGAGCAACCUACCUUACACAGGGGGAUAGCCGUUGGAAACGACGAUUAAUACCGCAUGAGACCACAGAAUCGCAUGAUAUAGGGGUCAAAGAUUUAUCGGUGUAAGAAGGGCUCGCGCCUGAUUAGCUAGUUGGAAGGGUAAAGGCCUACCAAGGCGACGAUCAGUAGCCGGUCUGAGAGGAUGAACGGCCACAUUGGAACUGAGACACGGUCCAAACUCCUACGGGAGGCAGCAGUGGGGAAUAUUGCACAAUGGGGGGAACCCUGAUGCAGCGACGCCGCGUGAGCGAAGAAGGUUUUCGAAUCGUAAAGCUCUGUCCUAUGAGAAGAUAAUGACGGUAUCAUAGGAGGAAGCCCCGGCUAAAUACGUG
RNAcentral lists this ribosomal RNA (478 nucleotides) under uncultured bacterium. Its description in RNAcentral is "partial 16S ribosomal RNA". It matches the Rfam family "Bacterial small subunit ribosomal RNA", at positions 28 to 507 of the family's 1533-position model. The record is from RNAcentral.